GGACCUACAAGUCAGCACAGGACGGUAACAAAGGUACUCCAGAGUAUUUUUGAAAACAGGCUGAGUUCAGCUCGGUUAAAACAGGCUCGCUCACGCCCAUCGAUUGGCCUUUACAGCGACUUCUUUACGCAAGUGACUUCAGACUUGAGCCAUGGGAGCAGCCUAAGUGAGGACACGUUCUCUGCUCAGCGACACGUUAGGGGUUACACACAGAGCGGAGGGCCGGCUGAGAACCGCCCUGCGGAGCGGCUCGGGGAAGUUCGCAGCGCCGGUGUGUGCGGGAGGCAGCUCCGGACAGGGCACACGGCAGUCCCGGGCAGAGCACACGGCAGCUCCGGGCAGAGCACACGGCAGCUCCGGGCAGGGCACACGGCACUCCCGGGCAGAGCACACGGCAGCUCCGGGCAGAGCACACGGCAGCUCCGGGCAGAGCACACGGCAGCUCCGGGCGGAGCACACGGCAGUCCCGGGCGGGGCACACGGCAGCUCCGGGCAGGGCACACGGCACUCCCGGGCAGGGCACACGGCAGCUCCGGACAGGGCACACGGCAGCUCCGGGCAGGGCACACGGCAGUCCCGAGCGGGGCACACGGCAGCUCCGGGCAGGGCACACGGCAGUCCCGGGAGGGGCACACGGCAGCUCCGGGAGGGGCACACGGCAGCCCCGGGCAGGGCACACGGCAGUCCCGGGCAGAGCACACGGCAGCUCCGGGCAGGGCACACGGCAGUCCCGGGAGGGGCACACGGCAGCUCCGGGCAGGGCACACGGCAGCUCCGGGCGGGGCACACGGCAGUCCCGGGCAGAGCACACGGCAGCUCCGGGAGGGGCACACGGCAGUCCCGAGCAGGGCACACGGCAGCUCCGGACAGAGCACACGGCAGCUCCGGGAGGGGCACACGGCAGUCCCGAGCAGGGCACACGGCAGUCCCGGGCAGAGCACAAGGCAGCCCCGGGCAGGGCACACGGCAGCUCCGGGCAGGGCACACGGCAGUCCCGCCGCACCGGCCGCUCCAGAGCGGCCCGGGACGGGGCGGAGGGGCGCGGCCCAUCCCAGCCCAGCCCGGCCCAGCCCAGCCCAGCCUAGCCCGGCCCAGCCCAGCCCAGCCCGCGCCCCCCGCUGCCGCCUGCCCCCCGCAGCACAUGACCAGCCAUGGAGAGGCGCUGGCGCUGCCCGCGGGCUCGGAGCCGGGGGAGCGAGCGGCGGCAGCCGGCCGGGGGCGGCGGCCGGGGGCGGCACAGGCGGGCGGCGGGCAGGUGAGGCGGGCCGGGGGCGGCAGCGCCGGGCGGGCCGGGGCGGCAGCCCUGCCCCGGCAGCCCUACCCCGGCACCCGGUUGGCGGCGGCUGCCCCGGCGGAGGGCGAGCGCGGGGCGGGAGCGACGAGCCGGCCAGCGAAGGGGCCCCUGGGGCUACUGUCGGGGCGCUGCCCGGAGCGGCCGCUGCAGCCGGUGUUCCGUGUUGUGCCGUCCCGGUGGGUUUCCCGUACCCCGACGCAGCGGCUGGAGAUGGGUGCUGA
RNAcentral lists this long non-coding RNA (1515 nucleotides) under Catharus ustulatus (Swainson's thrush). RNAcentral describes it as "lncRNA (ENSCUSG00005004198.1)". Lineage: Eukaryota; Metazoa; Chordata; Aves; Passeriformes; Turdidae. The record is from RNAcentral.